AUUGAACGCUGGCGGCAGGCCUAACACAUGCAAGUCGAGCGAGCGGCGGACGGGUGAGUAAGGUAUGGGGAUCUGCCCGAGAGAGGGGGAUAACUACUGGAAACGGUGGCGAAUACCGCAUACUAACGGAGGAACCCAAAUGGGAUUAGCUAGUAGGUGGGGUAAAGGCUCACCUAGGCGAGGAUCUCUAGCUGGUCUGAGAGGAUGAUCAGCCACACUGGGACUGAGACACGGCCCCGACUCCUACGUGAGGCAGCAGUGGGGAAUAUUGCACAAUGGGCGCAAGCCUGAUGCAGCCAUGCCGCGUGUAUGAUGAAGGCCUUAGGGUUGUAAAGUACUUUCAGCGGGGAGGCGUUACCCGCAGAAGCUCCCCCGCCUAACUCCGUUCCAGCAGCCGCGGUAAUAC
This 406-nucleotide ribosomal RNA is filed under the name uncultured bacterium. RNAcentral describes it as "partial 16S ribosomal RNA". It matches the Rfam family "Bacterial small subunit ribosomal RNA", at positions 30 to 526 of the family's 1533-position model. The record is from RNAcentral.